This 445-nucleotide ribosomal RNA is filed under the name uncultured bacterium. RNAcentral's name for it is "SSU rRNA". It matches the Rfam family "Bacterial small subunit ribosomal RNA", at positions 26 to 518 of the family's 1533-position model. The record is from RNAcentral.
AGAGCGAACGCUGGCGGCAGGCCUAACACAUGCAAGUCGAGCGCCCGUAGCAAUACGGGAGCGGCAGACGGGAUAGUAACACGUGGGAACGCGCCCUUCGGUUCGGAAUAACUCAGGGAAACUUGAGCUAAUACCGAAUACGCCCUUACGGGGAAAGAUUUAUUGCCGAAGGAACGGCCCGCGUCCGAUUAACUAGUUGGUGAGGUAAUGGCUCACCAAGGCUACGAUCGGUAGCUGGUCUGAGAGGAUGACCAGCAUCACUGGGACUGAGACACGGCCCAGACUCCUACGGGAGGCAGCAGUGGGGAAUAUUGGACAAUGGGCGCAAGCCUGAUCCAGCCAUGCCGCGUGGAUGAUGAAGGCCUUAGGGUUGUAAAGUCCUUUUAACGGGGAGAUAAUGACGGUACCGUAGAAUAAGCCCGGCUAACUUCGUGCCAGCAGCCGC